This 511-nucleotide ribosomal RNA is filed under the name Lasiodiplodia brasiliensis. RNAcentral describes it as "eukaryotic LSU rRNA". The stretch from base 153 to 306 matches the Rfam family "5.8S ribosomal RNA". The record is from RNAcentral. Lineage: Eukaryota; Fungi; Ascomycota; Dothideomycetes; Botryosphaeriales; Botryosphaeriaceae.
GCGGAAGGAUCAUUACCGAGUUUUCGAGCUCCGGCUCGACUCUCCCACCCUUUGUGAACGUACCUCUGUUGCUUUGGCGGCUCCGGCCGCCAAAGGACCUUCAAACUCCAGUCAGUAAACGCAGACGUCUGAUAAACAAGUUAAUAAACUAAAACUUUCAACAACGGAUCUCUUGGUUCUGGCAUCGAUGAAGAACGCAGCGAAAUGCGAUAAGUAAUGUGAAUUGCAGAAUUCAGUGAAUCAUCGAAUCUUUGAACGCACAUUGCGCCCCUUGGUAUUCCGGGGGGCAUGCCUGUUCGAGCGUCAUUACAACCCUCAAGCUCUGCUUGGAAUUGGGCACCGUCCUCACUGCGGACGCGCCUCAAAGACCUCGGCGGUGGCUGUUCAGCCCUCAAGCGUAGUAGAAUACACCUCGCUUUGGAGCGGUUGGCGUCGCCCGCCGGACGAACCUUCUGAACUUUUCUCAAGGUUGACCUCGGAUCAGGUAGGGAUACCCGCUGAACUUAAGCAU